Molecule: ribosomal RNA, 435 nt
Filed under: uncultured bacterium
Lineage: Bacteria
Description: partial 16S ribosomal RNA
Rfam family: Bacterial small subunit ribosomal RNA
Source: RNAcentral
AGCGAACGCUGGCGGCAGGCUUAACACGUGCAAGUCGAGCGGGCAUAGCAAUAUGUCAGCGGCAGACGGGUGAGUAACGCGUGGGAACGUACCUUUUGGUUCGGAACAACACAGGGAAACUUGUGCUAAUACCGGAUAAGCCCUUACGGGGAAAGAUUUAUCGCCGAAAGAUCGGCCCGCGUCUGAUUAGCUAGUUGGUGAGGUAAUGGCUCACCAAGGCGACGAUCAGUAGCUGGUCUGAGAGGAUGAUCAGCCACAUUGGGACUGAGACACGGCCCAAACUCCUACGGGAGGCAGCAGUGGGGAAUAUUGGACAAUGGGCGCAAGCCUGAUCCAGCCAUGCCGCGUGAGUGAUGAAGGCCCUAGGGUUGUAAAGCUCUUUUGUGCGGGAAGAUAAUGACGGUACCGCAAGAAUAAGCCCCGGCUAACUUCGUG